AUUGAACGCUGGCGGCAGGCCUAACACAUGCAAGUCGAGCGGAGAUGAGGUGCUUGCACCUUAUCUUAGCGGCGGACGGGUGAGUAAUGCUUAGGAAUCUGCCUAUUAGUGGGGGACAACAUUCCGAAAGGAAUGCUAAUACCGCAUACGUCCUACGGGAGAAAGCAGGGGAUCUUCGGACCUUGCGCUAAUAGAUGAGCCUAAGUCGGAUAGCUAGUUGGUGGGGUAAAGGCCUACCAAGGCGACGAUCUGUAGCGGGUCUGAGAGGAUGAUCCGCCACACUGGGACUGAGACACAGCCCAGACUCCUACGGGAGGCAGCAGUGGGGAAUAUUGGACAAUGGGGGGAACCCUGAUCCAGCCAUGCCGCGUGUGUGAAGAAGGCCUUAUGGUUGUAAAGCACUUUAAGCGAGGAGGAGGCUACUGAGACUAAUACUCUUGGAUAGUGGACGUUACUCGCAGAAUAAGCACCGGCUAACUCUGUGCCAGCCGCCGCAGUAA
This 500-nucleotide ribosomal RNA is filed under the name uncultured bacterium. RNAcentral describes it as "partial 16S ribosomal RNA". It matches the Rfam family "Bacterial small subunit ribosomal RNA", at positions 30 to 523 of the family's 1533-position model. The record is from RNAcentral.